Coregonus clupeaformis (lake whitefish) is the source of this 416-nucleotide long non-coding RNA. RefSeq lists it as uncharacterized. Lineage: Eukaryota; Metazoa; Chordata; Actinopteri; Salmoniformes; Salmonidae. The transcript is spliced from 4 exons. The record is from RefSeq and is a predicted model, not a curated record.
GGGGUCAAACACCUGCUCCAUGUCCUCGGCCAUCUCCACAGAGCAAACCAAAAAUCUGGAGAGACCCAGACAGUUCCAGACAGUACCUUUUGUAUGGAGGAGGUUCACUUCAAUCCCAUAUUUCUAGCGGAGGAUGUAAAGCUUUGGCGUUUAUGGUCAAAGCAGGAUGUGGAUCAGACACCUGCCAUCUUUUGUCAUUACCCAUUCUUGAUGAAUCUGCAGAGCAAGAUAAACGUUUUUAACAUCAACGCCGUACUCACACAGAAUCCCCUAACAAUCGCCAAAGGACUGGCAUGUGGCCUUUUAACAUGUUCCCCGUGGCGGCCCCUGCUGCGUCCUUUGAGCUGAGGCUGAAGCGAGCAUCACUCAUCGAAGACACUUUCCAACAACUGAGUGUAGCAUGUCCCAGUACCUUC